CACGUGAAAUCCCGUCGGAAUCUGGGAGGACCAUCUCCCAACCCUAAAUACUCCCUAGUGACCGAUAGUGAACCAGUACCGUGAGGGAAAGGUGAAAAGCACCCCGGGAGGGGAGUGAAAUAGAACCUGAAACCGUGUGCCUACAACAAGUUCGAGCCCGUUAAUGGGUGAGAGCGUGCCUUUUGUAGAAUGAACCGGCGAGUUACGUUAUGAUGCGAGGUUAAGUUGAAGAGACGGAGCCGUAGGGAAACCGAGUCUGAAUAGGGCGCCUUAGUAUCAUGACGUAGACCCGAAACCAUGUGACCUACCCAUGAGCAGGUUGAAGGUGCGGUAAGACGCACUGGAGGACCGAACCAGGGCACGUUGAAAAGUGCUUGGAUGACUUGUGGGUAGCGGAGAAAUUCCAAACGAACUUGGAGAUAGCUGGUUCUCUCCGAAAUAGCUUUAGGGCUAGCGUCGACAUUAGAGAUUCUUGGAGGUAGAGCACUGUUUGGGUGAGGGGUCCAUCCCGGAUUACCAAUCUCAGAUAAACUCCGAAUGCCAAUGAAUUAUGGUCGGCAGUCAGACUGCGAGUGCUAAGAUCCGUAGUCGAAAGGGAAACAGCCCAGACCACCAGCUAAGGUCCCAAAAUAAUUGUUAAGUGGAAAAGGAUGUGGGGUUGCACAGACAACUAGGAUGUUAGCUUAGAAGCAGCUAUUCAUUCAAAGAGUGCGUAAUAGCUCACUAGUCGAGUGACCCUGCGCCGAAAAUGUACCGGGGCUAAAACAAUUUACCGAAGCUGUGGAUACCUUUAUAGGUAUGGUAGGAGAGCGUUCUAUGUGUGAUGAAGGUAUACCGUGAGGAGUGCUGGAACGCAUAGAAGUGAGAAUGCCGGUAUGAGUAGCGAAAGACAGGUGAGAAUCCUGUCCACCGUAAGACUAAGGUUUCCAGGGGAAGGCUCGUCCGCCCUGGGUUAGUCGGGACCUAAGGAGAGACCGAAAGGUGUAUCCGAUGGACAACAGGUUGAUAUUCCUGUACUAGAGUAUGUAGUGAUGGAGGGACGCAGUAGGCUAACUAAAGCAGACGAUUGGAAGAGUCUGUCUAAGCAGUGAGGUGUGAAUUGAGUCAAAUGCUUAAUUCUAUAACAUUGAGCUGUGAUGGGGAGCGAAGUUUAGUAGCGAAGUUAGUGACGUCACACUGCCAAGAAAAGCUUCUAGCGUUUAAACAUACUCUACCCGUACCGCAAACCGACACAGGUAGUCGAGGCGAGUAGCCUCAGGUGAGCGAGAGAACUCUCGUUAAGGAACUCGGCAAAAUGACCCCGUAACUUCGGGAGAAGGGGUGCUGACUUAAAGUCAGCCGCAGUGAAUAGGCCCAAGCAACUGUUUAUCAAAAACACAGCUCUCUGCUAAAUCGUAAGAUGAUGUAUAGGGGGUGACGCCUGCCCGGUGCUGGAAGGUUAAGAGGAGUGCUUAGCGUAAGCGAAGGUAUGAAUUGAAGCCCCAGUAAACGGCGGCCGUAACUAUAACGGUCCUAAGGUAGCGAAAUUCCUUGUCGGGUAAGUUCCGACCCGCACGAAAGGCGUAAUGAUUUGGGCACUGUCUCAACGAGAGACUCGGUGAAAUUUUAGUACCUGUGAAGAUGCAGGUUACCCGCGACAGGACGGAAAGACCCCAUGGAGCUUUACUGCAGUUUGAUAUUGAGUGUCUGUACCACAUGUACAGGAUAGGUAGGAGUCUAAGAGAUCGGGACGCCAGUUUCGAAGGAGACGCUGUUGGGAUACUACCCUUGUGUUAUGGCCACUCUAACCCAGAUAGGUGAUCCCUAUCGGAGACAGUGUCUGACGGGCAGUUUGACUGGGGCGGUCGCCUCCUAAAAGGUAACGGAGGCGCCCAAAGGUUCCCUCAGAAUGGUUGGAAAUCAUUCGCAGAGUGUAAAGGUAUAAGGGAGCUUGACUGCGAGAGCUACAACUCGAGCAGGGACGAAAGUCGGGCUUAGUGAUCCGGUGGUUCCGUAUGGAAGGGCCAUCGCUCAACGGAUAAAAGCUACCCUGGGGAUAACAGGCUUAUCUCCCCCAAGAGUUCACAUCGACGGGGAGGUUUGGCACCUCGAUGUCGGCUCGUCGCAUCCUGGGGCUGUAGUCGGUCCCAAGGGUUGGGCUGUUCGCCCAUUAAAGCGGCACGCGAGCUGGGUUCAGAACGUCGUGAGACAGUUCGGUCCCUAUCCGUCGCGGGCGUAGGAAAUUUGAGAGGAUCUGCUCCUAGUACGAGAGGACCAGAGUGGACUUACCGCUGGUGUACCAGUUGUCUUGCCAAAGGCAUCGCUGGGUAGCUAUGUAGGGAAGGGAUAAACGCUGAAAGCAUCUAAGUGUGAAACCCACCUCAAGAUGAGAUUUCCCAUGAUUAUAUAUCAGUAAGAGCCCUGAGAGAUGAUCAGGUAGAUAGGUUAGAAGUGGAAGUGUGGUGACACAUGUAGCGGACUAAUACUAAUAGCUCGAGGACUUAUCCAA
Molecule: ribosomal RNA, 2488 nt
Filed under: Streptococcus pneumoniae
Lineage: Bacteria; Bacillati; Bacillota; Bacilli; Lactobacillales; Streptococcaceae
Description: bacterial LSU rRNA
Rfam family: Bacterial large subunit ribosomal RNA
Source: RNAcentral